RNAcentral lists this non-coding RNA (32 nucleotides) under Mus musculus (house mouse). The record is from RNAcentral. Lineage: Eukaryota; Metazoa; Chordata; Mammalia; Rodentia; Muridae.
UGAUUGGUUGUCCACUAUGUUGGACGUUUUGC